Centruroides sculpturatus (bark scorpion) is the source of this 294-nucleotide long non-coding RNA. RefSeq lists it as uncharacterized. Lineage: Eukaryota; Metazoa; Arthropoda; Arachnida; Scorpiones; Buthidae. The record is from RefSeq and is a predicted model, not a curated record. The transcript is spliced from 4 exons.
CUUNUGGUCCAUGCCCUGCAGGUUAUACUGGAAAUGGAGAAUAUUGUACAUAUUCAGGAGUAUGCAGGAUGAAUAAUGGAGGAUGUCAUCCUCUUGCAACUUGUAUUGAAAAUACAGCUAUAUCGCCAUUAUACAGAGAAUGUCGUUGUCCAAGUGGUUUGACAGGAAGCGGAGUUGGACCAAAUGGUUGCAUAACUGCUACUGGUACAGCUUGUGAAGCUAAUCCAUGUUUACACGGAAGUUGUCAAGUUAGCGGAAAUAAUUAUAUAUGUAUAUGCUCUCCUGGCUAUACAG